RNAcentral lists this ribosomal RNA (915 nucleotides) under uncultured marine group I thaumarchaeote. Its description in RNAcentral is "SSU rRNA". It matches the Rfam family "Archaeal small subunit ribosomal RNA", at positions 1 to 923 of the family's 1478-position model. The record is from RNAcentral. Lineage: Archaea; Thermoproteati; Nitrososphaerota.
UUCCGGUUGAUCCUGCCGGACCUGACUGCUAUCGGAUUGAUACUAAGCCAUGCUAGUCUUUGUAGUAAUACAAGGCAUACGGCUCAGUAACGCGUAGUCAACCUACCCUAUGGACGGGGAUAAUCUCGGGAAACUGAGCAUAAUACCCGGCAGACCACUUAUCCUGGAAUGGUUAGUGGUUAAAAUGAUUCGUCGCCAUAGGAUGGGACUGCGGCCUAUCAGCUUGUUGGUGAGGUAAUGGCCCACCAAGGCGAUUACAGGUACGGGCUCUGAGAGGAGAUGCCCGGAGAUGGGUACUGAGACAAGGACCCAGGCCCUAUGGGGCGCAGCAGGCGAGAAAACUUUGCAAUGUGCGAAAGCACGACAAGGUUAAUCCGAGUGAUUUCUGCUAAAGGAAUCUUUUGUUAGUUCUAAAAAUACUAGUGAAUAAGGGGUGGGCAAGUUCUGGUGUCAGCCGCCGCGGUAAAACCAGCACCUCAAGUGGUCAGGAGGAUUAUUGGGCCUAAAGCAUCCGUAGCCUGUUCUAUAAGUUUGCGGUUAAAUCUAUACGCUCAACGUAUAGGCUGCCGUAAAUACUGUAGAACUAGGGAGUGGGAGAGGUAGACGGUACUCGAUAGGAAGGGGUAAAAUCCUUUGAUCUAUUGAUGACCACCUGUGGCGAAGGCGGUCUACCAGAACACGUUCGACGGUGAGGGAUGAAAGCUGGGGGAGCAAACCGGAUUAGAUACCCGGGUAGUCCCAGCUGUAAACGAUGCAGACUCGAUGAUGCAAUGGCAUAGAGCUAUUGCAGUAUCGCAGGGAAGCCGUUAAGCCUGCCGCCUGGGAAGUACGUACGCAAGUAUGAAACUUAAAGGAAUUGGCGGGGGAGCACCACAAGGGGUGAAGCCUGCGGUUCAAUUGGACUCAACGCCGGGA